This is a non-coding RNA of Saimiri boliviensis boliviensis (Bolivian squirrel monkey), 3945 nucleotides long. The record is from RefSeq and is a predicted model, not a curated record. Lineage: Eukaryota; Metazoa; Chordata; Mammalia; Primates; Cebidae.
CAUGGCGCUGCACAGCACUGCCUGCAGCUGCUCCGUGCGAUCCAGGUAGCUGGGCUCCAGGCCCUGCAACACAGGGGGCCGCGUGACCUUGGAGCGUGCCCUGACCCACACACCGCACGAUCCGCCCAUGCCACCGCCAAUAGCAUGGGCAGCCACUCUGCCAGGGAGGGGCCACCGGGACGCCUACAGACAGAAAGGGAGACUGAGGCCGUAGCGUUCACCUCUGUCGAGCCUGAAGAUCACAACCCUGACUCUGGCCAUGCAGCCAGCAGCCAGCACCCAGCACCCCAGAUCCACUCACGACUGCACCCAAGGAGUCCCUGGGGUUGCGGACGGAGGUGCAGAUGGCCAGGCCUGGAAAGACCAGUGAACCUGGGAAGGCCCUGGGACACAGGGCCCGGUAGACGGUGAGAACCUGUAGCCGUGGGAAGGUCUUGCAGGCCCAGCAAAGUCCCUGCCUUGUGCAUAGGGACCAGCUGCAUGAAGGGACAUUGCUGUGGGGCGUCGGAGAUCAGGUACUCCACCCUCCACUCUGCCAUGGGCACCUCAGCGCCUGUUUGUGGGACAGGACGACACCCCAGUGUCAGCUGGAUUGGAACAAAGGUCACAGAGAGCUGGCGACCAUCACGGCUGGGAGGGAGCCGGGUGGGGCAGCCAGGGAAAGGUCGCGGCAUUACUGGAGGGCCUCGCCUGGCUGCCUCCGGAAUCCCACUGAAGCCAGCUGAGGAGGGGUUUUGGGGAGGGCACAUGGCUGGGCAUGCACCCAAGCAUGGCGCUGGCUCCAUGCUACUGGAGGCCUGUUUUCACUCCGAAAGUUCUGGCACUUCCUGAACACAGAGGUGUGCCCCCCUUGCACCCACCCUGUGAGUGGUCAGUCCAGCCUGUGCUCCUGGCCUCCUCGUAGUCCGAGGGGCCUGCAGAUGCCCACCCCGGUGCCCAUCGGUAUGUAGGAAGACAGAGCGUCACUCCGCUGAACAGCACAGAGGAGAGGAGGGAGACCACGGCGCCUCCUGGUGCAGGGCCUGCUGGGCUGGCGGGCACCCUCCAGCCCAAAAUAUGGGCCAUCAGCCCUUUGCAGAAAGACCUGGCUGACCGUCAGAUCUCCGGUGGCGGAAAGGCCGGUGAGUGGGGUGCGCAGCUCGGACCUGCUGUCCGGAGUCGAGGGGUGGUUAACUUCUCAGAGCCUCUGAGUCCGCACUGAGGGUGUGCAGAGGCCUCACGGAGCGUCACCAUCCGGCCCGCAUGAUGUGCCCUCCAGUUCCGGGCCAGGGGAAACGCCGCACGGGCGUCAGGACCAAGGGAGCCAGGGUCCGCGGGGACUUCCGAAACCAAAGGGCAGUGGGGGUUCCCUGCUGGGGGCUGUACCUGCUGGUGGAGACCCAGGCGCAAAGUGAGGCCCCCGUGGCGCGGCUCGUCCCCGUGCUCGGCGCCCAGCAGGUGCUUGUUGAAGUGAGGCAGCGGCAGGCUGGGCCUGAAGUCUGAGCUCAGCAUGCUGACGGGUGCCAGCAGGAUGGUGGCAUUGGUGACGGGGCCUGGGGGGCGCGGUGGUCAGGCCCCGCCCCAUCCCGGCCAGGCCCACAGCAUCCCAGCCAGUCCCCGCCCCACCCCGACCAGGCCCCGCCCCAUCCCGGCCAGUCCCCGUUCCGCAGAAAGCCAGGCCUGACCCCUAGCCAGGCCCCACCCCAGCUCCUGCAGGGCUUUUCCCUGGGACCCCAGGCCUCGCCUCCACCUGCAAUGGACGCGGGCUGAGCACAGAGGCGCGCCCACCUUUGAGGGCCACCGUCCGGAUGCACUGCUUGCUCUGCACGUCCCAGAGCCGCACGGUCUCGUCGUGGGAGCCCGAGAGCAGCACGCUGCCGUCCGUGGACACUGACAGGCAGGUCACCUGGUUCCUGGACAGACAGGCGGGGGUCAGUGCCAGGCAGGACAUGCCAGAGAGCCCCCACCCCAUGCCCACAUCGCCCCUGUGCCCCCAGCUCCCCACCUGUGCCCUUUGAAGACCUUCCCGGAGUCCUGCUCUGGCUGGAAGCUUCUCUCCCUCUGUCCCGGCUGCAAAGGCGGAGACGGGUGUGAGCAGCAGGGCCGAUGCCCUCAGCCCCAGGGCAGGGCGCAGCCCACCGCCCGCCCGAUGCACUCACCCAGGUGAACAGGUCCACCUGGAAGAUGGAACCGUCGCUGCCCCCGCAGAACAGGUGGUGCUCGGCCAGGUCCAUGGUCACCGCCAUGACGGCCACAUCAAAGAGUACGGAGAGGAGCAGCUCCCCCGAGGAGACCUCCCACAGCUGCGGGCAGGCAAAGGGUGUGGGGCUCACCCCAGCUCUGGGGAACCCGAGGACCCCGUGGGAACAGGGAUCCAGGGAGGGGCACCAGGGAGGUCAGGCGUCCGCUGUCCUCUGGUCCUGGGGCUUGGGACUGAGUGAAAGCCGUCACCUUGUGGGUCUGGGGGACUAGGGGACAUGUCUGGGCUGAAACAGAGCUUGAUCUCCGGCUGAUGAGCCCUGGGUCUCCCUCCCAGGACCACCAGCCAUGGCUCAAGGGUUAGCAGUGACUUCCAAUUCCCCGGCUUGGGCAGGGAGCCGGGCCAGAAACGGUGAAUGAGUGGGAAUUUCCAGGCUGGCAGACCUGCAGGCCCACCCUCCCUGGACAUCCUUGUGCUCAGAGCACCAGGGGAUUAGAAGCUGUCUGGAGCUCUGACAGCAGGAGGGGGAGGAGGCGAUUCCUGCAUUCCUGGCUGAGGACCUGCGGCUGCUGGGCUCUGCUCACAGACCGUGGGGGGAUGGGGGGGCGGAGGUGGCUCUACCUUCACCGUCUGGUCCAGCGAGGAGGUGGCCACCCGGGCCAGGGGGCCCCCAAAGCCGCAGCGCAGGUCCGUGAUGGGGAGCGUGUGGUGAGACCAGACGUGCCGGGGCGCCGGGAUCCUGGCGGGGUCAGCCUGCAGCACGCUGGGUGGCAUGGGGCAGGUGGUCAGCUGGCGGGGAGGGGAGGGACCACGGCAGCCAAACCUCCGCACCCACCUCACACACACACCUGCCUCUGCUCAGUAGCCUGGCCUGCCUCACCUGAGUAAACUCAAGCCUGGGCCCCCACGGCCGCCGGGACAAACCACACCCCAACAUGGGCAGACAGGACAGCUGGGACGAUCACGCCAUCCUCUGCACUCCAGCCCCCAGGAGAAGCCCCUUCCCGCCAGGGGCCUUGGCGCCUCCUUUCCCUGCUCGAGCCUGGGUGCAGGCCGGGUUCGCAAGGCUCGGACCUGCAGAGGCUCCAAGCCAGCACCAGGCAGUCCUUGCCCCCCGAGAUGAAGUGGCUGCUGUCCCCGGUGAACUGCAGGCAGGAGACGUCCUGGUAGUGUCGACUCAGGAUGACCAGAAGGUUCCCGGUGGAGACCUGUGAGGGGCGGAAGGCAUCCAGGUCGGGGAGGAAACGGGGCUGCAGCUCUGGGAACCACACCGCCGCCCCCUGCCUUCGACUGUGGGUGGGUCUGCCCUGGCAGGAGCCGGCAUACACAGCAGGGUAGCGCCCCUGCACAGACUGUGUGUGCGCCUGCUCCUGCCUCGUCCCCACCUGUGUGACCGCCCAGGAAGGGGGCACAUCUCCUGCCCUGCCCUGCCCUGUCGCCUCAGGUGCCGGUGUCGUGAGCCUGACCCUAGGGAGGGCACAGGCUUCCCGCACGGGUCCUGAAGGAACGGCUGCACUCAGAACCUGCAGGCAGCUCCCCCAGUUCAGCGGGACUGCACUUCCGAGCAGGCUGCGGUGGCCUGAUGGGGAUGGGGGCAGCUGGAGCCCCAGCAGGAAGCCAGGCAGCUCCAUCUGAGGACGAGGACAGGGAGCCCCUUCCGGGACGCCUGGCGAGGGCUGAGAGGCUCUGAUUGCUCUGGCGGGGGCUGCGGGUUGAAUCGUGUUUCCCCCCAGAAUCGUGUUAAAGUCCUGACUGGGACCUGUGAA